This 72-nucleotide microRNA precursor is filed under the name Podarcis lilfordi (Lilford's wall lizard). Lineage: Eukaryota; Metazoa; Chordata; Lepidosauria; Squamata; Lacertidae. The record is from RNAcentral.
GGCUUUUCUGGGAGGUGGGGGAAGGGACAGAGGGCAGCCCCUCUGUCCCUUCCCCCACCUCCCGCAAAAGCC